CCCAACAUGAGUAAAAACAACCCCACAAAAUGCCCCGACAGCCUCAACCCAGCGUUUGGGUUGAGAAAAUAACCCAGUAUUUUUUAGAGUGUGUGUGUGUGUGUCAGUGGAAGCUCCUCC
This is a long non-coding RNA of Alosa sapidissima (American shad), 120 nucleotides long. RefSeq lists it as uncharacterized. Lineage: Eukaryota; Metazoa; Chordata; Actinopteri; Clupeiformes; Clupeidae. The record is from RefSeq and is a predicted model, not a curated record. The transcript has 3 exons.